RNAcentral lists this ribosomal RNA (494 nucleotides) under uncultured bacterium. RNAcentral describes it as "bacterial SSU rRNA". It matches the Rfam family "Bacterial small subunit ribosomal RNA", at positions 28 to 515 of the family's 1533-position model. The record is from RNAcentral.
GACGAACGCUGGCGGCGUGCCUAACACAUGCAAGUCGUACGAGAAAGCCGGCUUCGGCUGGUGAGUAAAGUGGCGCACGGGUGAGUAACGCGUGGAUAAUCUGCCCUUAAGUGUGGAAUAACGUACCGAAAGGUGCGCUAAUACCGCAUAAUGCCUGGCAACACAAGUUGUCCGGCCAAAGAAGGCCUCUGUUUACAAGCUUUCGCUUCAGGAUGAGUCCGCGUACCAUUAGCUUGUUGGUGGGGUAAUGGCCUACCAAGGCUGCGAUGGUUAGCUGGUCUGAGAGGAUGAUCAGCCACACUGGAACUGAGACACGGUCCAGACUCCUACGGGAGGCAGCAGUAGGGAAUAUUGCGCAAUGGAGGGAACUCUGACGCAGCGACGCCGCGUGAGCGAUGAAGGUCUUCGGAUCGUAAAGCUCUGUCCUCAGGGAAGAAGGUUAUUAACUUGACGGUACCUGAGGAGGAAGCCCCGGCUAACUACGUGCCAGCACG